Non-coding RNA from Salmo salar (Atlantic salmon), 54 nucleotides. The record is from Rfam. NCBI's taxonomy places the organism in Eukaryota, Metazoa, Chordata, Actinopteri, Salmoniformes, Salmonidae.
UGCAUUCGCUACUGUAAGUCGCUCUGAAUAAGAGCAUCUGCUAAAUGACUGAAA